GCCCGUAAUAAAUAGUACUUUGUCUCCCUUGGUAAGGGAGAGGUCGAGUGUUCGAAUCACUCUGUGGGCACCA
This 73-nucleotide transfer RNA is filed under the name Rhodospirillaceae bacterium. RNAcentral describes it as "tRNA-OTHER". The record is from RNAcentral. Lineage: Bacteria; Pseudomonadati; Pseudomonadota; Alphaproteobacteria; Rhodospirillales; Rhodospirillaceae.